UUAAGUUCCUUACCUGCUAUUGGAGCCAUCAUCACUGGGGCGUUCGCUAAGGUCUCCUUGAUUUUCGCAAAGGCUUGUCGAUGGACCU
Molecule: transfer RNA, 88 nt
Filed under: Gossypium harknessii
Lineage: Eukaryota; Viridiplantae; Streptophyta; Magnoliopsida; Malvales; Malvaceae
Description: tRNA-Ser
Source: RNAcentral